UUUUUUUUUUUUUUAAUCAAACGGAAUUGGAAUGUGCAAACAAAAUAUAUAACUAAGUUCUUAAGUUUACAUGUCUGCUUUUCCAAAGAAAAUAGUCAAAGCUAAAAGGCUAUAAAUGUCACCUACUUUCAAGAACAUGAGAAAAAUAGAACCCCCAAAUUCUAGAAAAAUAAUAAUUUUCAGCAUGCCUUCUAUGCUUCAUUAGAAAAGAUUGGGGGAGAAAAGGAGCUUAGGGGAGAACUUUGCAGUCCUUGCAUGUUGGAAAUUCCAGCUGAUGUCAGUGGAAGUUUAGUAACGGGAGGAAUGUAGAAAUGGUCUGAACCCGUGUUCUGGUUGUGAACUUGGAACAGAAUCAGAAACAAUUAAUACUUGUUUCUGACUAAAAUGAUCUAUUCUCAAACAGAGCGAGGCAAAGCAAAACAGGGGAAAUUGGCAGUAUCGCAGCAUAUGUUAGAAACUAAAUGCAGGCUAGCCAACAGUUUUGACAGUGUUUGAUUAGUGUACGUAGCCAUUGAAGGGAAAUAACUGUAUUUUUAAAACCAAACAGCAUGAAUUCAUCCAGAGAAGCUCAUUUUAUAAAGAGAAGUAAUUCUAUCCAGUGCUCAUUGGUGACAAUAUCAAUUAAGAUAGUUGAGUUUGAGAACUACCAGAAUUAAAGAAUAAAUAUAUUGUAUUGUGCUCUGCACGGUGUCUUUUUAUACUUAAUAAAAUUGUACGUACCUAUUUUAAAACUGUAUUCUCAGACACUGCUAUUAAUAUUGACAGUAUAUAAAUUGUUAUUACGACUGCAUCCAACUGUUCUGUAUCUCAUCAGUAUGAUAUGAAUUACACUGAUAGCUGCAUUUUCAGACACCAACUAUUCAGAUUGUCAGCCCACUGUACUGCAUUUUUCCAAACCAUCUCUCCACCUUCUCCCCUCCUUUUCCUCAAAAAAUUUAGGUUUGAUGGAGUGGAAUGUGCUGAUUAAUAAAUUUCAAUAAUAGAAUAUCAUUCAUAUAGAGAAGCAUAUCAAAUCCAUUUUCAUAUCUUAUGAUUCAAUAAAUUAUUUACACAUACUAAAA
RNAcentral lists this long non-coding RNA (1061 nucleotides) under Strigops habroptila (Kakapo). RNAcentral describes it as "lncRNA (ENSSHBG00005005080.1)". The record is from RNAcentral. Lineage: Eukaryota; Metazoa; Chordata; Aves; Psittaciformes; Psittacidae.